CUGUUUUCAUCAAGUUUUGAUGUGUCACGCGCGCUCCUCCCACCGGAUUGACGUAACCUGACGUCAAAAAAACAAAAAACACUCGUCACCGCAGCUUUUUUGGAAUCCGGGUUGUGUACUUCACUAAUUGCAGGCCCGCCCACAGAAAUGGCUGAGCCCACAAAGAGGUCCAGUGACUGGGCCCUCCCUAAACCUGCUUUACUCAGCAGCAGAUGGCCGGGCUGCAGAGUACAGUCACCGCUCUCUCUACCAGAUCUUUUGUAAUGUGAAGAAACAGCGAGGGACCGCUAGCUAUCCUGCCAUCACUUCCAAUUUGGCUGCAGUCGGAACAAACUGCACGGGCAACUAGUUAGUAUUUGAUGAUGAUAAUAAAUAGCUACAUUUGUCAGGCCUUGUCUCAACUUUUAUCCAAAAACUGAGGUUUUUCUCCGAAGUUUAAGGAUUGGAAAAGUGCUACUGAGUGCAGAUACAGUUUAAUAUACUUGCAUACUGUGUGGGUAUAAGGUGACAUGUAUGGAAGGGUAUUUAUUACCUCUCUUAUCUCUCUCUCAGGAAAGUGUAAUAGGGUUUUGAGUGUUUGAUGCUGUCCAACGUGCUUAAAAUCAAACAAAUGUGCAAGUCUUUCUCCUAAACACACACAUAAAGUGCUGCACAGCGGCUAUAUGAGCUAUAAUAACAGACACCCACAGUGACA
Long non-coding RNA from Centropristis striata (black sea bass), 694 nucleotides. RefSeq lists it as uncharacterized. The transcript has 3 exons. The record is from RefSeq and is a predicted model, not a curated record. NCBI's taxonomy places the organism in Eukaryota, Metazoa, Chordata, Actinopteri, Perciformes, Serranidae.